Molecule: ribosomal RNA, 166 nt
Filed under: Oddoniodendron normandii
Lineage: Eukaryota; Viridiplantae; Streptophyta; Magnoliopsida; Fabales; Fabaceae
Description: 5.8S ribosomal RNA
Rfam family: 5.8S ribosomal RNA
About the family: 5.8S ribosomal RNA (5.8S rRNA) is a component of the large subunit of the eukaryotic ribosome.
Source: RNAcentral
AACGACUCUCGGCAACGGAUAUCUCGGCUCUCGCAUCGAUGAAGAACGUAGCGAAAUGCGAUACUUGGUGUGAAUUGCAGAAUCCCGUGAACCAUCGAGUCUUUGAACGCAAGUUGCGCCCGAGGCCACCAGGCCGAGAGCACGUCUGGCUGGGUGUCACGCAUCG